This 65-nucleotide transfer RNA is filed under the name Bosmina fatalis. RNAcentral's name for it is "tRNA-Trp". Lineage: Eukaryota; Metazoa; Arthropoda; Branchiopoda; Diplostraca; Bosminidae. The record is from RNAcentral.
AGAGUUUUAAGUUAAAUUUAAACUUUGAGCCUUCAAAGCUCAGUAUAGACUUGGUCUAAAUUCUA